Molecule: transfer RNA, 73 nt
Filed under: Stegodyphus mimosarum
Lineage: Eukaryota; Metazoa; Arthropoda; Arachnida; Araneae; Eresidae
Rfam family: tRNA
About the family: Transfer RNA (tRNA) molecules are approximately 80 nucleotides in length. Their secondary structure includes four short double-helical elements and three loops (D, anti-codon, and T loops).
Source: Rfam by way of RNAcentral
GCCUUCGUUGUGUAAUGGUCAGCACGCUCGACGUGUAUUCGAGAGGUCCGUGGUUCGAAUCCCGGCAAGGGUA